CAACAUCCCCAUGAGGUAGGCAGGGUGCUUCCAGGUGAGGCAAGUGAGGCUCAGUGAGAGGAAGAGACUGUUCUCUCCAGCGCAUCACUGGCAGUCAGAUAAGAGCCCAGGACUCCAAGGCACACAAAACAGGAAGCCAGUUUCCAGUGACUCAGCAGAUCCACCACGGAGUGCCAGGCCAUGUGCAGGGCUCUGGGCUCAGAGAGAACGAUUGUUCAUGUGCCUGUGACCAUGAGAAGUUCAUAGUCAGAUGGCGGAGGCAGACCUGCCAGCAACACACACCACCCACCUGCAAAGCGCCAGAUGAGAGGUCACAGCAAUGGCUGCCAUUCCAUGACCACCUGCUGUCAACAGCGCUACUCAGUUAGGGCCUACUGUGUGCCAGCCUGGGGCCAGGAGAGUCACAGGUGUUGUCAUUAGCUCUCACAACAACCUUCCUUGUUGGAAUGUAAUUUAUUCUGAACAGCUUUAUUGAUGUAUAAUUUGCGUACAGUAAACGAUGCAUAUUUAAAGUAUAAAAUUGCAUACCUUUGACAUGUAAACACCCAUGAAAUCAUCAUAAUCAAGAUAAUGAGUUCCCUCACACCCCUUAGCAAUCUCUCUCUUUUGCUCCCUGUCCCCAUUCCCAAUCACUGAUCUGCUGUGACUAUAAAUUAGUUUGUAUUUUCAAGAGUUUUAUAUAAAUGAAAUAUUUCAGUAUGUCUGGCUUCUUUCACUCACAAUAAUUAUUUUGAGAAUCAUUCCUGAUACAGCACAUGUGAACAGUCCAUCAACAGUCCAUUCCUUUUUGUAGAUGAGUAGUAUCCCAUUGUAUGGAGAUCCCACAAUUAUUUGUAUCCAUUGUUUGAUGAACACGUGAACUGUGUCCAGGUUGUGGCUCUUACAAAUAGAGCAGCUAUGAAAGAAUGUUCAUUCAGGUAUAAGUCUUUGUGUGGACAAACGCUGACAUUUGUCUUGGAUAAAUUCCUCGGAGUGGAAUUACUAUACCAUCUGAUAAGUGUAUUUUCAACUUUUUAAGAAACUACCAAACUGUUUUCCAAAAUGGUUGUAUUAUUUUAUAUCAUCACCAAGAGUGCCAGAGAGCUCCAUUUCCUCCACAUCCUUGCCAGCACAUGAUAUGUUCAGUCUUCAUAAUUUUAGCCAUUCUAAUAAAUAUGUAGUAACAUCUCACUGUAGUGUUAACUUUUGAUUCCCUAAUAACCAAAGGGUCAGAGCAUCUUUUCAUUUGUUUGUCAUCUGUAUAUCUUCUGUGAUAAAGUGUCUGUUCAGGUCUUUUGCUAUUUUUUGUUGGGUUUUUUACUGAGUUUUGAGAAUCUUUGUAUAUUCUGGAUAAAAGUCCUUUACUAAAUAUAUGCCUUGCAAAUAUCUUCCCCUAGGUUGUGUCUUCUCUUUUCAUUCUCCUAUCGGAGUCUUUUAAAGAGCAAUGGUUUUUUUCUUUUGAUGACGUCCAACUUAUCAUUUUGUUCUUUUAUGGAUCAUACUUUUUCUGCCACAUUGAAGCAAUCUUGAUCUAAAAUAAGGCUGUAAAAUUUUUUCUAUGUUGUCUUCAAGUUGUUUUGUAGUUUUAAAUUUUACAUUUAGAUCUAUCAUACAUUUCCAGUCAAUUUUUGUAUAUGGUACAAGGUAGGGAUCAAAGUUUCCUUUUUGUUUGUUUGCUUUGUUUUAUGACUAUCCAGUUGUUCCUCCACCAUUUGUUGAGGAGACUAUUCUUACUCUCCUGAAUUGCCUUCAUGCUGUGGUCAAAAAUCACUUGUAAAUCUUUACAUAAGUUUAUUUCUAGACCCUCUACUGUUUCACUGAUCUAUUUAUCUUGACGCCAAUAUCUCCUGCUUUGAUUGCUGUAACUUUAUAAUUCAAAAUUGGGGACUGAAUCUGUACUUCUUUUUUUGUUCGUUUUGGCUUGUUUUUAAGACAGGGUCUCACUCUGUUGCCCAGGCUGGAGUACAGUGGCAUAAACAAGGCCCACUGCAGGCCUGAAUUCCUGGGCUCGUGUGAUCCUCCCACCUCAGCGUCCAGAGUAGCUGGGACUGCAAGCACGUGCCACCAUGCCCAGCUAAUUUUUUUUAUUUUUGUUUUUUGGAGAGACAGGUUCUCACUAUGUUGCUCAGGGUGGUCUCAAAUCCCUGGGUUCAAGCGAUCCUCUCACCUUGGCCUCCCAAAUUGCUGGGAUUACAGACAUGAGCCACCACGCCUGAACCUUAACCUGUACUUCUUUUACAAAGUUGCUUUGGCUUUUAUAGGUCCUUUGAAUUUCCAUGUGCAUUUAGAAUCUGCUUCUCAAUUUCUACAAAAAAAA
RNAcentral lists this long non-coding RNA (2296 nucleotides) under Homo sapiens (human). RNAcentral describes it as "HSALNT0004131". The record is from RNAcentral. Lineage: Eukaryota; Metazoa; Chordata; Mammalia; Primates; Hominidae.